CAGAAUAAGAGGAAAAUAGAUCCUGGUAAGGACCCAGGUUCUGAGAACACCUUUUAGGGUCUGACAUCUCUGCCAGGUGUGAAGAGCUGAGAAUCAGUGGAUCUGAGUUCUAGCCCUAGUUCUGGUGUUAACUCCUCAGCCAUAACUUCCUUGUGCUUUCUUUACAAUGAGGAUAAUAAAACCAGCUUUGUCUUCUUCACAGGCUAUUGCUGAAGACAACAUGAUAUAACAGAAUUGGAAGUGCUUUCACAAACAUUGUUUUAUGAACACAAGGUUCAUCCCCAUCUUGUGGAAUUGGAUUUCCACCAAGGGUUCCUGCUCCUCAUUUAGCGUGGAAGAAAGUGGAUUUUGCAAAUAACAUUCAUGAUGUUUUGGGCAGUAUCUACUCUGCCUGCAAGCUUAGGCUACAAAUGACAAAUGGCACACCAAAGUGAGGUGUGGUCGUGCAGACAGAAAAAGCAAGGGCCUCCUAAUGCCCAGGAAGCAAAAAGGAAAGAACGUCUCUUCGGUACCUCAUGACUUCCUGCUAGAGGCCUGAAGUCACUGGCACACUGGAGGAUUCUGUUAGUAUUCUCAUCAGAUUCACAUGAAGGUGUCACAAAAUGUACAGGGAAGUCCUGAACACUCUUCACCCAGCCUCUGCCAAGGUUAGUGUCAUGAGUAACUGUAGUAAAAUGUCGAAACCAGGAAACUGACAUUAGAACAAUCCACAGAGCUUAUUCAGAUUUCAACAGUUAUGCAUGGACUCAUUUGUGCAUGUGUGUGCACGUAGCUAUAUGUAAUUUUAUCACACGUGUAGCUACACGUAACAGUCUACCACAAUCAAAGUAUUUAACCACACCAUCACCACAAACGUCUUUCAUGCCAGCCCUGUAUAGCCACCCCUCAACCC
This 892-nucleotide long non-coding RNA is filed under the name Homo sapiens (human). Its description in RNAcentral is "HSALNT0304437". The record is from RNAcentral. Lineage: Eukaryota; Metazoa; Chordata; Mammalia; Primates; Hominidae.